This is a long non-coding RNA of Oreochromis aureus, 348 nucleotides long. RefSeq lists it as uncharacterized. The record is from RefSeq and is a predicted model, not a curated record. The transcript has 3 exons. Lineage: Eukaryota; Metazoa; Chordata; Actinopteri; Cichliformes; Cichlidae.
AAAUCUAUCAAUGACAAUGAAGAAAUAUUAACUUCUGUGACUUCUGAUUUGCCUCACUUCUCCGAGACUGCAGCUCAAGAUGACCAGGGGAAUGAUGCCUGUGUGACUUCUGGUUCACCUCCUGUCCCUGACUCAGUUACUAAAGGUUUACGUGUUUCAUCAAGGCGGUGUGUGAAGAGACCAUGGUCUGAGGAGGAGAUAGGAGCGGUGAUGAAACAUAUGAAGCCUUUUAUUGAAAACGGUAUCACUGUCACCAACCAGCAGUGUCUGAAGUGCAAAGAAAAGGAACAACCUAUCUUGGAGACGAGAUCUAUUCAAAACAUUCGAGAUUUUGUGCGCAACAGAGGA